Molecule: ribosomal RNA, 482 nt
Filed under: uncultured bacterium
Lineage: Bacteria
Description: bacterial SSU rRNA
Rfam family: Bacterial small subunit ribosomal RNA
Source: RNAcentral
GAUGAACGCUAGCGGCAGGCCUAACACAUGCAAGUCGAGGGGCAGCAUAAUCUAGCUUGCUAGAUUGAUGGCGACCGGCGCACGGGUGCGUAACGCGUAUACAAUUUACCCUUUACAGGAGGAUAGCCCUAAGAAAUUGGGAUUAAUACUCCAUAACAUUAUGAAUUCGCAUGUUUUCAUAAUUAAAGCUCCGGCGGUAAAGGAUGAGUAUGCGUCCUAUUAGAUAGUUGGUGAGGUAACGGCUCACCAAGUCAGCGAUAGGUAGGGGGUCUGAGAGGAUGAUCCCCCACACUGGUACUGAGACACGGACCAGACUCCUACGGGAGGCAGCAGUGAGGAAUAUUGGUCAAUGGAGGCAACUCUGAACCAGCCAUGCCGCGUGCAGGAAGACGGCCCCUACGGGGUUUGUAAAACUGCCUUUUAUACACCAAGAAACGCGGGUACGUGUACCCGUUUGACGGUAGUGUAUGAAUAAGCACCGG